Molecule: long non-coding RNA, 267 nt
Filed under: Lathyrus oleraceus (garden pea)
Lineage: Eukaryota; Viridiplantae; Streptophyta; Magnoliopsida; Fabales; Fabaceae
Description: Pisum sativum (pea) long non-coding RNA (PSAT_LNC026580)
Source: RNAcentral
GCUAUGGAAACUCGUCCAAUCCACUGGUAGGAUGAACACUGCUGGAGAUAUAUUUCAUUGAAACCCGCUCCACUCGGGGAAUAGCAACCUUCAGACCUGGCUGCUGAGGAAACACCGUUUUAAACCUGCCCGAGAUAACCAUCCUGACUCGGCUGGAGAAGUUUACAGACCUUGAGUCUGCUGUGGAGCUAGUCCUAUAACUCUGCUUGAGGGACCUAGCUGGGAAAUGAGAAAAGUUGGUACAGAACACCCGUCGACUCGUCGAAC